RNAcentral lists this ribosomal RNA (496 nucleotides) under uncultured bacterium. RNAcentral's name for it is "partial 16S ribosomal RNA". It matches the Rfam family "Bacterial small subunit ribosomal RNA", at positions 28 to 507 of the family's 1533-position model. The record is from RNAcentral.
GACGAACGCUGGCGGCGUGCCUAAUACAUGCAAGUUGAGCGCUGAAGGUUGGUACUUGUACCAACUGGAUGAGCAGCGAACGGGUGAGUAACGCGUGGGGAAUCUGCCUUUGAGCGGGGGACAACAUUUGGAAACGAAUGCUAAUACCGCAUAAAAACUUUAAACACAAGUUUUAAGUUUGAAAGAUGCAAUUGCAUCACUCAAAGAUGAUCCCGCGUUGUAUUAGCUAGUUGGUGAGGUAAAGGCUCACCAAGGCGAUGAUACAUAGCCGACCUGAGAGGGUGAUCGGCCACAUUGGGACUGAGACACGGCCCAAACUCCUACGGGAGGCAGCAGUAGGGAAUCUUCGGCAAUGGACGAAAGUCUGACCGAGCAACGCCGCGUGAGUGAAGAGGUUUUCGGAUCGUAAAACUCUGUUGGUAGAGAAGAACGUUGGUGAGAGUGGAAAGCUCAUCAAGUGACGGUAACUACCCAGAAAGGGACGGCUAACUACGUG